AAGAAAAAAAGGUUACGUAUCCGUUAGGGUUGAGUUAGGGUUAGGGAAACCGUAAGUAGUCAGAAACAGGUAAGUAAUUAAGGUUAGGACAUGGAGAGUGGGUGAGGUGCCGAGUCUCUAUGCACGGGCCAUCCUGUUCUGGUUCAGGUGAGUCCUAUUUUAGAUUGAGACCUUCAGGAAAUAUUGUGCCCAAUUUUGUGAUCCAUUCCCUCUCAGCUCUGACUCUCUGUGCAUUCUUCCAGUCUGGAUCCCUCUGGAGGACUGUGGCUCGAACAGACGACCAUCCAUGGGAGACAAAAUGGCUGACAAGGGGUGGUGGUAUCCAGGAAGUCGACUGACGUGGUGCUGGUGGUGGAUUUCAGCUUGAUGGACGGGUUAUGAUUAUUCAAGGAUGCCAGGGCAGAUGUCUCCCACUCCGCCAUAAAAAUGUUUGCGUAUGCCGAUGCGAAUUUCUUUCCCAUGGCAGUGCCUUUAAUUUGUAGAUAGAAAUUACUGUCGAAUUCAAAAUCAUUUCUUCUGAGAAUAAUUUCUAAUAACUGUA
Molecule: long non-coding RNA, 541 nt
Organism: Larimichthys crocea (large yellow croaker)
Lineage: Eukaryota; Metazoa; Chordata; Actinopteri; Sciaenidae
Exons: 3
Source: RefSeq, a predicted model, not a curated record